GCGGGUUUAGCUCAGUUGGGAGAGCGUCAGACUGAAGUCCACUUCACUCAUGAAAUCUGAAGGUCAUGUGUUCGAUCCACAUAAACCGCA
This is a non-coding RNA of Rhypophila decipiens, 90 nucleotides long. Lineage: Eukaryota; Fungi; Ascomycota; Sordariomycetes; Sordariales; Naviculisporaceae. The record is from the annotation of a GenBank genome assembly.